RNAcentral lists this ribosomal RNA (253 nucleotides) under uncultured bacterium. RNAcentral describes it as "partial 16S ribosomal RNA". It matches the Rfam family "Bacterial small subunit ribosomal RNA", at positions 524 to 776 of the family's 1533-position model. The record is from RNAcentral.
UACGUAGGGACCAAGCGUUGUUCGGAUUUACUGGGCGUAAAGGGCGCGUAGGCGGCUUGACAAGUCAAAGGUGAAAUCCCUCGGCUCAACUGAGGAACUGCCUUUGAAACUGUCUGGCUUGAGGCCGGGAGGGGGUAGCGGAAUUCCCAGUGUAGCGGUGAAGUGCGUAGAUAUUGGGAGGAACACCAGUGGCGAAGGCGGCUCACUGGACUGGUACUGACGCUGAGGCGCGAAAGCGUGGGGAGCAAACGGG